GACGAACGCUGGCGGCGUGCUUAACACAUGCAAGUCGAGCGGUAAGGCCCUUUCGGGGGUACACGAGCGGCGAACGGGUGAGUAACACGUGGGUGACCUGCCCUCAGCCCUGGGAUAAGCCUGGGAAACCGGGUCUAAUACUGGAUAUGACUCCAUGACGCAUGUUGUGGGGUGGAAAGCCUUGUGCGGCUGAGGAUGGGCCCGCGGCCUAUCAGCUUGUUGGUGGGGUGAUGGCCUACCAAGGCGACGACGGGUAGCCGGCCUGAGAGGGCGACCGGCCACACUGGGACUGAGACACGGCCCAGACUCCUACGGGAGGCAGCAGUGGGGAAUCUUGCGCAAUGGGCGAAAGCCUGACGCAGCGACGCCGCGUGAGGGAUGACGGCCUGGUGUAACU
Molecule: ribosomal RNA, 397 nt
Filed under: uncultured bacterium
Lineage: Bacteria
Description: bacterial SSU rRNA
Rfam family: Bacterial small subunit ribosomal RNA
Source: RNAcentral